RNAcentral lists this long non-coding RNA (228 nucleotides) under Elaeis guineensis (African oil palm). Its description in RNAcentral is "long non-coding RNA (EGUI_LNC029705)". The record is from RNAcentral. Lineage: Eukaryota; Viridiplantae; Streptophyta; Magnoliopsida; Arecales; Arecaceae.
GCUCCUUCUCUCACAGCGUCAUGCAUUUCUCUCUUUCUUUCUCACGGGUUCUUCUCUGGUUCGCAUGAAGCCGUCUACGCCCACAGGUCCUUCACGUGGGUUCUCUCCCAUGAAAACCAAGCCACCACACAGCUUUUUGUUGAGCAUCAGGCUCUUUUAAAGGGCUUAAACAUCAAUUAGGUUAGGUUUAGAAGUCCUAAUCAAGCUCAAAACAAGUCUCGGACCGUC